This 208-nucleotide ribosomal RNA is filed under the name uncultured bacterium. RNAcentral describes it as "partial 16S ribosomal RNA". It matches the Rfam family "Bacterial small subunit ribosomal RNA", at positions 568 to 774 of the family's 1533-position model. The record is from RNAcentral.
CUCGUAGGCGGUUCGUCGCGUCCGGUGUGAAAGUCCAUCGCUUAACGGUGGAUCUGCGCCGGGUUACGGGCGGGCUGGAGUGCGGUAGGGGAGACUGGAAUUCCCGGUGUAACGGUGGAAUGUGUAGAUAUCGGGAAGAACACCAAUGGCGAAGGCAGGUCUCUGGGCCGUUACUGACGCUGAGGAGCGAAAGCGUGGGGAGCGAACA